RNAcentral lists this ribosomal RNA (443 nucleotides) under uncultured bacterium. RNAcentral describes it as "partial 16S ribosomal RNA". It matches the Rfam family "Bacterial small subunit ribosomal RNA", at positions 338 to 795 of the family's 1533-position model. The record is from RNAcentral.
CCUACGGGAGGCUGCAGUGAGGAAUAUUGGUCAAUGGGCGCGAGCCUGAACCAGCCAAGUAGCGUGAAGGAAGAAGGGUUUCGGCUCGUACACUUCUAUUAACAGGGACGAAAGAAAUGACGGUACCUGAAUAAGAAGCCCCGGCUAACUACGUGCCAGCAGCCGCGGUAAUACGUAGGGGGCAAGCGUUAUCCGGAAUUACUGGGUGUAAAGGGUGAGUAGGCGGCAUGGUAAGCCAGAUGUGAACGCCUUGGGCUUAACCCGAGGAUUGCAUUUGGAACUAUCAAGCUAGAGUACAGGAGAGGAAAGCGGAAUUCCUAGUGUAGCGGUGAAAUGCGUAGAUAUUAGGAAGAACACCAGUGGCGAAGGCGGCUUUCUGGACUGAAACUGACGCUGAGGCACGAAAGCGUGGGGAGCGAACAGGAUUAGAUACCCCUGUAGUC